GGUGGGGGGGUUGGGGGGAGAGGAUGAGCUACCUGGAAGGGAAAGUACAUUAUUACCCAAUAAUUAUGGAUUGCAGGUGCUCAUUAGGUUGAAGAAAAAGUUCAAAACACUGAGAUCCAGGGUAUUGAGUACAGCAAAUCUGUGUGUGUAUUGGAAUAGGAGAUUUACCACCAGAACUGAGGAAAUAGGACAGAUGGAAAAGCAAGGGGAAGGAAGUGUUUUUGAAGCGCCAUCAAGAGAAGGAAGAGUUCAGAUUCUGCUGCAGAGCCCAGCUGUGAACGAGUCAGGAGCUCCCACCUCUACCCGAAAACCGGAGGAGAGGGAAGUAGGCUAGAACCCAACACAGUGCUUCCGGAAAGCACUUCAGAAGGCAAAGGAGCAAGCUGAGAAUUGUAUUGCUUUGCUGCACAGAUAUGAGAAAACUACCAGAUCAAAAACCAGUCACUCUAGAAGUCUGGGCUGCCUUAAAGACCAAAUUGGAUUAAGUAUGCCCAGACAAGCUUUUAAAACACUUUGAAAAAGAAAGAAAGCCAAGUGAACUGAAGAGUUGGGUUCAGUGCCCUUGAGGUAAUUUGGAUAAUUUGCAUAUCUUGGUGGGGUGUUCAAAGGGUAAAAAAGGCAAGGCCUUUUCCAGGAAUAUUUGUUUGAAAACUUAAUUAUGUUAUUUUUAUUUUAGAGAGAGUGUGCACACAGGAACAGGGGAGAGGGGCAGAGGGAGAGAGAGAGAGAGAGGGAGAGAGAAUCCCAAGCUGGCUCCAUGCAGACGUGGGCCUCAGUCCCACGAUCUUGAGACCAUGACCUGAGCUGAAACUAAGAGUCGAUGCUCAACCAACUGAGCCACCCGGGUGCCCCAGAAAACUCAUUUCUGUAAGAGAAUCAGUCAAAUAUAACACACAGAAUAUAGUUAUAGUGCUGAGUGCCCUGUAAACAGAUUCCUGGGUCCAUUCUUUCUGUCCCCGAGAGGCUUAUGCUUCUGGAUUGAAAAACCCUAAGAACCUUCUCUAACACAGGCAAGUGUCAUAGAGCCUGGAACAGAAGGGCUAGUUUUUCUAAGACUUGGAAGGAUGAAAUGUGUUUCUCUCCCUUUAUGGCCCAAAAUAACUGAUCAUGAACUAAGCAGAUCCCCUCUAGACCCUGGUUUCUCAACAUUGGCAUAUUGAAGUUUCGGGUCAGCUAGUCUGUGCUGGGGGGGGGGGUGUCCUGUGCAUUGUAGCUCAGCAACCCUGACCUCCACCCACUACGUGCCAGUAGCACGCCCCUCACCCCCAGGUUAUGGCAACAAACAUCAAAAAAUGGCUUCAGACUUUGCCAGAUGUCCCCUGGGCACAAAACUGACCCCUGUUGAGAACCACUCCUUUAGGGAGGAGGAUGGAAUAUUCUGUUCCAAAAUAUACAUAUAAGAUAUUAACUUUUAAAAAAUGUUUAGGAAAAGAGGAUAUUUUAGAAGAAAUAUGAUAAUACCUUCAUAGCUUCCAAGGCAUGGCUCCAAGCUGUUAUUUCUGCUAAAUUAUAAGCUUUCAAGGGCAAGAACAAUAUGCAUUUUUCUUAUUUAUUGCCAUAGUCCUAGGAUCCGGUAUAGUGCCGGGACAUAGUAGGUGUUUAAUAAGCAUUUGGGGGAUGAAUGCAUGAUUUAUUGAGCAAAUGCCGCAUGCCAAGCACUCUGGCGUGUUCACAACAACACUAAUGGGAUAGAUGUUAAAGUAAAACUCUAUAAUAGAGCAAAUUCAGGUGUCGCAUAAUUGUUUUUCUCCUGGGUCCUGACCUUACCCCAGGCUCUUCUUUCAAACGGAUGAGCUACAGUUCUUCCGACCUGCCCCUGUGGGAAGGGCCACAACUCCCUCCGGGGAAAUGGGGAGGCAGAGAGUGAGUCUCUGUGUCUUCAGUGUUCUCCCAGCCAAAUUUCCCUGGGUCCAAAAGACACUCUGGGCACCAGCUGAUGAGGACAUUCCUGGAAUUAUUGCUCCUGUCCUGGGAACUUUAGCCAGACAGCCGCAGGACCCAUCUCUGUCCCCAUCAAUAUUUAAACCAGAGUAAACAGUACUCAGAUGGCACCAAACCACGGCUGAGACUGGAAAGGACUUAGCUCAUGUCGCCAGGACCCCAGAAUCCAAGUAUUUCAUUACUUUCUCGGAAUUGUGCCCUUGCGUUUUACAAGCUUGACCUCUUUGUGACCUACUCGUCACCUUCUGGUGGGGUUUUACCGUAUCAUCCCUAUGGUAUGUGUGAGGAAACUGAGGCCCUGAAAGAUUCAAAUCACAAAGCUGCUGUGUGGUGACCCGAGAUUCAGACCCGGCAAGGUUGGGCUGCCAGACAGGACGGAGCAGUGAGCACGUACGCUUCCCCAGCGGAGCUGGCGAUGGCCAUUUCUGCGUCCCAUGUGUUCCCAUUCCCUGCAUGGUAUGGGGCGGUGGGUCCUGUUGUCUAUCGUGCGAGCUCAGGAGAGACAGAUGGACGAGACCUGGCUGAGAGCCAAUAGCCUCUGAGCCAUGCCAGGCUGGAGUGCGGCAGACAUACCAGGAUGAACAGCAGGCAGGACCAGGCUGGCCUGGUAAGAACAGGCAGAGACAAAAAUGCAGCGUCCAUUGAGGGGAGGAGCAAGGUGAGGCAGAGCCCAGCCGAGGAGCUUGCUCGGCACUUCUGCCGCAGGCCGGACCGCGACGUGGACCCCUGCGUCCGAAAAUGGGGGAGCAGGAUGCCUGCUGUUAGAUAAACCAGGAGUCUUGGCAGCUGCCCUGCUAGGGAGCGUGACUGUUAAUUACACGCACAUACAGUUGUUCGUGGAGAGGAAGCUAGUGUUCUUUACACAGAUCCUCUUAUUUUUUAG
Felis catus (domestic cat) is the source of this 2824-nucleotide long non-coding RNA. RefSeq lists it as uncharacterized. The record is from RefSeq and is a predicted model, not a curated record. The transcript has 4 exons. Lineage: Eukaryota; Metazoa; Chordata; Mammalia; Carnivora; Felidae.